Transfer RNA from Galdieria sulphuraria, 83 nucleotides. It matches the Rfam family "tRNA". Rfam says of the family: Transfer RNA (tRNA) molecules are approximately 80 nucleotides in length. Their secondary structure includes four short double-helical elements and three loops (D, anti-codon, and T loops). The record is from Rfam. Lineage: Eukaryota; Rhodophyta; Bangiophyceae; Galdieriales; Galdieriaceae.
GCAGAGAUGGCCGAGCGGUCUAAGGCGCUGCGUUCAGGUCGCAGUCAUCCCAGAUGGCGUGGGUUCGAAUCCCACUCUCUGCA